This 497-nucleotide ribosomal RNA is filed under the name uncultured bacterium. Its description in RNAcentral is "partial 16S ribosomal RNA". It matches the Rfam family "Bacterial small subunit ribosomal RNA", at positions 28 to 507 of the family's 1533-position model. The record is from RNAcentral.
GAUGAACGCUGGCGGCGUGCCUAAUACAUGCAAGUCGAGCGAACGGACGAGAAGCUUGCUUCUCUGAUGUUAGCGGCGGACGGGUGAGUCACACGUGUAUAACCUCCCUAUCAGACUGGGAUAACUUCGGGAAACCGGCGCUAAUCCCGGAUAAUCUUUUGAACCGCAUUGUUCAAAGGUGAAAUACGGUCUUGCUGUCACUUAUAGAUGGAUCCGCGCUGCAUUGGCUAGUUGGUAAGGUAACGGCUUAGCAAGGCAACGAUGCAUAGCCGACCUGAGAGGGUGAUAGGCGACACUGGAACGGAGACGCGGACCAGACUCCUACGGGAGGCAGCAGUAGGGAAUCUGAGGCAAUGGGCGAAAGCCUGACGGAGCAACGCCGCGUGAGUGACGAAGGUCUUGGGAUCGUAAAACUCUGUUAUGAGGGAAGAACAGAUGUGUAAGGAACUGUGCACAUCGUGACGGUACCUAAUCAGAAAGCAACGGCUAACUACGUG